CCUACGGGAGGCAGCAGUGGGGAAUUUUGCGCAAUGCUCGUAAGAGUGACGCAGCGACGCCGCGUGAAUGACGAAGGCCUUCCGGUCGUAAAGUUCUUUCGACAGGGAAGAAAAUGCCUAUAAGUCACUGGGUAUGUAUUGACGGUACCUGUAUAAGCAGCCCCGGCUAACUCCGUGCCAGCAGCCGCGGUAAUACGGAGGGGGCGAGCGUUGUUCGGAGUGACUGGGCGUAAAGAGCAAGGGGGCGGUGGUGUAAGUCAUUAGUCAAAGGCUAGAGCUCAACUUUAGUAAGGCUAGUGAUACUAUAAUACGAGAGUAUCAGAGAGGAUUGCAGAAUUCCUGGUGUAGCGGUGAAAUGCGUAGAUAUCAGGAGGAAUACCGUUAGCGAAGGCGGCAAUCUGGCUGGAAACUGACGCUGAGGUGCGAAAGCGUGGGUAGCAAACAGGAUUAGAUACCCCUGUAGUC
This 465-nucleotide ribosomal RNA is filed under the name uncultured bacterium. Its description in RNAcentral is "partial 16S ribosomal RNA". It matches the Rfam family "Bacterial small subunit ribosomal RNA", at positions 338 to 795 of the family's 1533-position model. The record is from RNAcentral.